This 71-nucleotide transfer RNA is filed under the name Loxodonta africana (African savanna elephant). RNAcentral describes it as "tRNA-Ala (TGC) (tRNA-Ala-TGC-19-1)". It matches the Rfam family "tRNA". From Rfam's summary of the family: Transfer RNA (tRNA) molecules are approximately 80 nucleotides in length. Their secondary structure includes four short double-helical elements and three loops (D, anti-codon, and T loops). Further hydrogen bonds mediate the characteristic L-shaped molecular structure. tRNAs have two regions of fundamental functional importance: the anti-codon, which is responsible for specific mRNA codon recognition, and the 3' end, to which the tRNAs corresponding amino acid is attached (by aminoacyl-tRNA synthetases). tRNAs cope with the degeneracy of the genetic code in two manners: having more than one tRNA (with a specific anti-codon) for a particular amino acid; and 'wobble' base-pairing, i.e. permitting non-standard base-pairing at the 3rd anti-codon position. Lineage: Eukaryota; Metazoa; Chordata; Mammalia; Proboscidea; Elephantidae. The record is from Rfam by way of RNAcentral.
GCAUUGGUGAUUCAGUGGUAGAAUUCUCGCCUUGCAUGCGGGAGACCUGGGUUCAAUUCCCGGCCAACGCA